GGAGUGAUCGUUACCCGUUAAAAGCCCUUUUAUCCGCACCCAUUAUGUUAUCGACGGAUCACAGAGCGCUGUGAUCUGAAGCCCUCGUAGUCAUAGUUUGACACUUGUGAGUGAGUCCCCAAGGUGGAGGUGUCGGCAGUGAGAGUGGGGAGAGCAGAGGAAGAAAGAAACGCACCGACAAAAUUCGGAAGAGUCAUUGUGACCGAACAGUCAAACCGAACAGUCGCGCAAAAAUUAAUAGCAAAGCACAGAUUCAUAAAAUAUUCGGAGAAACGAGUGACGGUGACCGAGGUCUCGCUGCCAAGCAGAAUUUUCCACCGAGGAGGGAUUUGUACCAGUGACGACGACAAGGAGUUGUAGCUCUUCGAGGGAGUUCAUUAACGUCGUAAAAGAAAAACUCCAGGUACAAAUAAAAUGUCUCAAUAAUCUCUCGGUGGUGCGGCAUCAGCCAGGCAUUGAAGUCGGCUGAAGGUCACCGCCAUUUCGCGUUCGGUCACAAUCAUUAGAUUAA
Molecule: long non-coding RNA, 511 nt
Organism: Cotesia glomerata
Lineage: Eukaryota; Metazoa; Arthropoda; Insecta; Hymenoptera; Braconidae
Exons: 2
Source: RefSeq, a predicted model, not a curated record